GGCCGUGAAAACCUCGCCGCUCACGGUGGCGGUGCGGUCGCAUACGGGGACUUGAGUUCGGUAGGGGAGACUGAAUUCCUGGUGUAGCACGGUGAAUGCGCAGAUAUCAGGAGGAACACCGGUGGCGAAGGUCGGGUCUCUGGGCCGAUACUGACGCUGAGGACGAAAGCGUGGGGAGCGAACAGAUUAGUAUCCUGGUAGUCCAGCCGUAAACCGUUGGGCGCUAGGUGUGGGGACUGUUUCCACGGUGUCCUGUGCCGUAGACUAACGCAUUAACGUCCCCGCCUUGGGGAGUUACGGCCGCAACGGCUAAAACUCAGGAAUUGACGGGCCCGCACAAGCGGCGGAGCAUGUGGCAUUAAUUCGAUGCAACGCGAAGAACCUACCUGGGUUUGACAUGCACCGACUGCCUCAGAGAUGGGGCUUCUCGGACUGGUGUGCAGGUGGUGCAUGCAGCUGUCGUCAGCUCUGUCGGUGAGAUGUUGGGUUAAGUCCCGCACGAGCGCAACCCUUCACCUAUGUUGCCGCGGUUCGUCCGGGGACUCGUGGGGGACUGCCGGGGUCAACUCGGAGGAAGGUGAUGACGUCAAGUCAUCAUGCCCCUUAUGCCCAGGGCUUCACACAUGCCAAUGGCUGGUACAGAGGGUUGCGAGACCGUGAGGUGGAGCGAAUCUCUGAACUGGUCUCAGUUCGGACGGGGUCUGCAACUCGACCCUGUGAAGUCGGAGUCGCUAGUAAUCGCAGAUCAGCAGUGUGCGGUGAAUACGUUCCCGGCCUUGUACACACCGCCGUCACGUCAUGAAGUCGGUAACACCC
RNAcentral lists this ribosomal RNA (816 nucleotides) under Saccharopolyspora sp. SPF13. RNAcentral describes it as "bacterial SSU rRNA". It matches the Rfam family "Bacterial small subunit ribosomal RNA", at positions 590 to 1422 of the family's 1533-position model. Lineage: Bacteria; Bacillati; Actinomycetota; Actinomycetes; Pseudonocardiales; Pseudonocardiaceae. The record is from RNAcentral.